CUUGCCAACAUCUUGCUUCAACAUUAAAUCUGCAUCAACAUACAGAUAUUACAUGAGUGAUAAUUUCAGACACAGAAGCUAGCUUUUGUCACAAAUGUAUGCUUCCGUUCUCGUGAUCAUAAUAAGUUUCAGAACUGACAUUAUAUACUGACGACUUCUCAUCCCCUAGAUUACUAAACCUGACACGAAUGACCAAGAGCCAACAUAGAACUAGUCAAGCUAGAGUUCUCUCAAUAACAAUCCAAAGACAUCAACAAUCCAUUACACAAUCAAUUAAUCUCCUUAUGUUAGUUACCAAGUCAAGUGCUCAGAGGGAUUUAUGCAUACCAGGAUGCGACGUCGCGUGGAAUCUAUGAUUCAGGCUUUAAAAUGGAUUUACCAAAAUUUCAUGUGAGGUUGUUCAUCUUAGGGGAAGAGCCAUCGGCAAUGAAAAGCAUUGGGCAUCAUACCGAUGACGCGAAGUUGCUUCCUGCUCUAAAGGCUGCUCUUAACGAAGAUGAAUGGGAGCAGCUGAAGAAUUCAAAGUUGGGAGUGUUCAUCAAGUUUUGGUAGUUGAAAUUUGAAUGGGCGUCUAGGCUGGUUCAUUAUAUGUUAUGUUACCAGCUGGAUAUCAAGAAGAAGUAUGAGCUCUGGUGUCUUUUUGGUCCACAGCUGGCGAGGUUUUCCCUGAUUGAGUUCAAGCACAUCACUGGUCUAAACUGCGAAUAUAUCAAGAACCUGGAUAAUUCUACUGUAGAGGUGACAGAUGAGUUGGCUCGUUUCUGGGAGUUGAUGGGUUUGAAUAUUGAUGCUGGUCCAAGUAGCUUGCAAAUAAUAGCAACAUGUAAGAAAUUUGGAGAGUGGUCUCAGGAUGACCGCAUUCGCCUGGGCUACCUAGCCAUCUACACAGGAUACAUUGAAGGGAAGAAGAACUCAUCGCCUACACGGGCGAUGCCUGCAAGGCUAGUGAUGAAUUUACAUGAAUUUGAGACGUACCCAUGGGGGAGAUUGCUUUUAAGUGGUUGAUGGACUCUGUGAAGUGCAAAGAUUUGACAAGCAAUUGUUAUACCAUAGAUGGGUUUGUUCAAGUUCUCCAAGUUUGGAUCUACGUUGCUCUACCCGACUUUGCUGCAUCCUUUGGGAAGCCCAUACGAAACAGACCGACUCCCCCUUUGCUGGCUUACAAUGGACAAAGAGGAAUAAAAUGUGGCAGAGGGUCUCAACACACAGUAUCAUCAAUAGUAUAGCGGGAUGAUCGACUACCGCGAACUCGACGAUUUUUAUAUAUUAACGUAUAACAAAUUACUAAGUACUAUAAAAUAAGUAGUACUCCAGAUAUUUAAAACGAUAAAAUGGUCAUAAGCAGUCAUAUACAUUUAAGUAAAACCAACUGAACGAGCAUGUCUGUUGCGUUUGUGUAACUUAAACAAGUAUGUCCAUUUAUGUUAAAAUUCCGAGAAUCCUCGUUAUAUUAGUUAUACUAGUAUAACAUGUAUUAGUGUUACUAGUUGUAUCAGUAUGACAACACCGAAACAUGAUUGGUAUGUUACAAGUAAAAACAUGAGAAUACUUCAUGACGACUUUGGAACACUUCAUGACGACUUUGGACGACUCUCGGAAGACUUACGGAAGACUUCACGAAACGUGCUGUCUUCCUUAAGUCUUCUUAAAGUCUUCCUGAAGUCUUCUUAAAGUCUUCACGAAACGUGUUGUACUUGUUUUGUCUGUUUCAAUGAUGAUUAGGAAUGAUGAUGUUGUUUAAGUUUGUACUGUAUGAUGUUGUUUUAAGUUUGUACUCUAGACUAUGUGUUUCAAAAAUUAAGCUAUUUUCCCUUCUCUUAUUUAUAUACCUUUUAUAUAAAUAAAUUAGUUGUUAUAAAAAGUUUUAAUAUAUCAAUUUAGUGUUUUCGUUGAUGAAAAAAUCGUUUUACUAUAUCUUCAAUAAUAGUUUUCCAAUAACAUAUAUGAUGUUAUAUCGUUUUAAAAUCGGUUUUCAAUAAUAUAUAUGAUAAAGAAAAUAUUUAUAAAACUUAAAGGGAAAUUUUUUUUUUAUAUAUGAUGUUAUUUCAUAAAAAGGAAAGUUUAAAAAAUAAUCUUAAUAUUAAUGUAAAGAAUUAAUCUUGCUUUUUAGAAUAAUCGGUUAUGUUUUAAUGAAAUUGUACCUAUAACAAUUUAAUCAUAUCAUUAUUUUACAAUUUAACUUUUAUAUAUUAACAUAUAACAAAUUACUAAGUACUUUAAAAUAAAUAGUACUCCAGAUAUUUAAAACGAUAGAAAUGUCAUAAGCAGUCAUAUACAUUUAAGUAAGAGCAACUGAACGAGCAUGUCCGUUGCGUUUGUGUAACUUAAACAAGUAUGUCCGUUUAUGUUAAAAUUCCUAGAAUCCUCGUUAUACUAGUAUAACAUGUAUUAGUGUUACUAGUUGUACCAGUAUGACAACACCGAAACAUGAUUGGUAUGUUACAAGUAAAAACAUGAGAAGACUUCAUGAUGACUUUGGAAGACUGCAUGAUGACUCUGGACGACUCUCGGAAGACUUACAAAAGACUUCACGAAACGUGCUGUCUUCCUGAAGUCUUCAUGAAGUCGUCCCAAGUCAUCACGAUGUUACUUUUAUAUAAAUUACUUAAAUCUUAAUAUAUUUCGAUAUCUUUCAAUUUAAAAUAGAAGUAUCAAUAUUUAAAAAUUCUAAUAAAAUCUGAUGAAAAAGAUUACAUAAGACCUUAAUUAUCAAAAAAAUUGAACAUAAAUAAUAGUGAAAUGAAAAAACAAUCAAAAUGACCAAAUUGGUGUGUGUUUUUAUAGAGUUCUGAAAAAACAAUAUUUACUUAUAUGUGGCCGGCGAGUACCAGUCUGGUUGCCUAUAUAAGCGUCCAUAAAUUGUUCUCCCUACAUGUCGAUUUCGUGUCCUGGGUGCAACCGACACAUUAUCCCUUAUCCCUUUACUCUUUUUCUACUCUUCCUCACAUAGACCUUCAUUGGCUUCUGAAGGAGCUUAUCACCGACACGGAAUAGAUCAAUGAGCGUGUUUCGGAUUUCGAUUCUCAGAGCAAAGUCUUCAUCCGGCCUAAACCAAUUCUUGUUGAACUGUAUGAAUUGAAACAAACAUUUUCAUACAAGAGUACGGAGAUCUAUAUAAUCUGGUAUUAGGAAUAGGGUCUGAGAUAAACUCACCAUUCCAAGGUCUUUCUUUUUCAGCCUUUGAGGUGCCAUGAUACCACUCAAAUUACCCUAAAGAGUGUUACUCAUCAAAAGAGGUCGAGUUAUAGUACUAAGGGAUCGAAUCCACAAGGAGCUAGGAAACCGAUUAGAUCUAAACAAUUUAUAAUAAACUACGCUAAUAGAGUAUAAAGCAGUGAAAUAGCAAUUAAAUAAACAAAGCAGUAAACAAGUUGAACAAGUCAAUUUUUCAACUUGGCAAGGGUUGUUCGAUGGAAGGAUGGUUGCUAGAUCUAGGGUUUUUAUUCAGGUGUUGGAGAUUAUAAUUCCUAUAGGUACCUAUUUGUUGCAUGCAUGAUAUGUUAGAGCUCAACCGCUUAACUCAGUGAUCAGCUGUCGCAUGUUUCACUGGUUAACUCGCUAGAUCUCGUGUCUCAACGGUUAGUAUCUUGAUCACGAAAGAGUGUCGACCGAUGGUCCUAUUGGGACAUCAACCGAUACACCUUUACCUACGUCGACCGAUAGUCAGUUGAGGACAUCGAUCGACGGGUUCUAGCCAGGCCUAUGCGCGAGAUGAUUUGCCCUAUUAGGAUGCUAAAUUGGCGGUUAGCCAUCUCUAGCAAUCCUAAUAUGAUAGAUAUAUGUCAGGAUGGGAUAACAAGGAUGCUUGUGUAUGCAAUCCUAUGAUCAAUAUUCUAGUUAAUUACUCUAGAACAAGAAAUAAGUAUAGAUCUAUCAUGAAUAUCACAACAGGACAGAUCUAUAGUUUGGGGCUAAUCCCACAAACCUAUCUGAACCCUGGAUCUAACAGGUGGAUCUACUCAGACAUGAAAACAGAAAUCAUAGAUGAAUAGAUAGAAAAACUGAAAUGAAAUAGAUAAAAUAAAACCAAAGGAGUUCCAGGAGGACUCUGAUAGGAGUUCCUCCCUUCUCUCCUAACAAAACUAUGAAUCCAAGAAAGUGUGUAAAAAGUGUAGCCGUCAACAAUGGCUUAGAAAUAACAAAAAUAGGGUUUCUGGUCGUCUAAGGGCAUUCUGGUAAUUUUUGGUUACUUAUGGGUUUCACGCAGUCAUAAAAUAUACUAGGCACACGAUCUGGGAUCUCCAUCGAUCGACGUACAGAGUGCUGCAUUGAUCGACGUGGCUUCCUGUUCUCGGCAGCUUCCUCUCGCGAGGCAGACUGACCACUCUUCAGUAAAACGGGAAUAACUUCUGCUACAGAAUGCUGAUUGACCUGCGACCGGUGGCAUUGGAAAGCUAACUCAAAGAUAUAUCUUGUGUCAAAAUAUGGGCUAAAUCUAACGGUAGGAAGAUCUUCAUCCAUAGCUAAACAUCUGACACGUCUGUGCAACUCUGCACCUCCAAAGGCUCCAAAAGACUCCAAAAUCACCAUAUUUCUCCUAAACGUCCCUGAACCUGUAAAUACUCUAAAUAGACUUCAAAAUAUAAUAAUUUUAUCUUAAAAUACUUUAAAACACUUAUAGACCAUGAUUAAAAAUGGGUAAAAUAUAUGGUCUAUCAACUCCCCCAGACUUACCCUUUUGUUUGUCCUCAGGCAAAACCAAUAGGCAGUCUCUCUGAAAGAGGUUUGAAAACAGCAGGGACUCAAAAAAAUAUUUUAAAAACUCAGUCAUCAUCUUUCUAGUAGUCCAAACCAAAUCAUAGACAUCCUAACUUUAGAAGCACAUUAUACAAUAUCUUAGUAUAGCAACUGAUAUACCUUGGAUUUGACCCAUUUUCAUCCAUCGUAUAUAAGUAUUUUACUAUAUAUAGAUAUAUGUUUUCUACUCUUCUAGGUAUGUUUUAAGGUUCAGGUGCAUUUCGGAGUAAAGCUAUGACUUUGGAGCAUUUUGGAGCUUAAAGGACAUUUCA
Molecule: long non-coding RNA, 5009 nt
Organism: Brassica napus (rape)
Lineage: Eukaryota; Viridiplantae; Streptophyta; Magnoliopsida; Brassicales; Brassicaceae
Exons: 3
Source: RefSeq, a predicted model, not a curated record